This 1610-nucleotide ribosomal RNA is filed under the name Plasmodium knowlesi. Its description in RNAcentral is "SSU rRNA". It matches the Rfam family "Eukaryotic small subunit ribosomal RNA", at positions 61 to 1439 of the family's 1831-position model. The record is from RNAcentral. Lineage: Eukaryota; Apicomplexa; Aconoidasida; Haemosporida; Plasmodiidae.
AAGUAUAUGCAUAUUUUAUAUGUAGAAACUGCGAACGGCUCAUUAAAACAGUUAUAAUCUACUUGACAUUUUCUAUAUAAGGAUAACUACGGAAAAGCUGUAGCUAAUACUUGCUUUAGCACCCUUGAUUUAUUUCUUGAGUGUGUACUUGUUAAGCCUUAUAAGAAAAGAGUUAUUAACUUAAGGAAUUAUAACAAAGAAGUGACACGUAAUGGAUUAGUCCAUUUUUUAGUGUAUAUCAAUCGAGUUUCUGACCUAUCAGCUUUUGAUGUUAGGGUAUUGGCCUAACAUGGCUAUGACGGGUAACGGGGAAUUAGAGUUCGAUUCCGGAGAGGGAGCCUGAGAAAUAGCUACCACAUCUAAGGAAGGCAGCAGGCGCGUAAAUUACCCAAUUCUAAAGAAGAGAGGUAGUGACAAGAAAUAACAAUACAAGGCCAAUCUGGCUUUGUAAUUGGAAUGAUGGGAAUUUAAAACCUUCCCAAAAUUCAAUUGGAGGGCAAGUCUGGUGCCAGCAGCCGCGGUAAUUCCAGCUCCAAUAGCGUAUAUUAAAAUUGUUGCAGUUAAAACGCUCGUAGUUGAAUUUCAAAGAACCUAUAUUUUAAUGAUGCUGUUAGCGAGAGCCACAAAAAAGCGAAUUCCAAUAUAUGUUUUCUGCUUUAUGUGCGCAUCCUCUACCUAUUAAGUGUUAAUUAAAUUAAAGGGUUUCUUUUUAAAAUCUUCUAUAACUAAUAAAAAAAUAUGGAAGAUUUUGUUACUUUGAGUAAAUUAGAGUGUUCAAAGCAAACAGAUAUAUAGCAUUUGUGCGUUUGAAUACUACAGCAUGGAAUAACAAAAUUGAACAGGUCAAAACUAUGUUUCUUUUUUUUUAUUUUUGGCUUAGUUACGAUUAAUAGGAGUAGUUUGGGGACAUUUGUAUUCAGAUGUCAGAGGUGAAAUUCUAAGAUUUUCUGGAGACAAACAACUGCGAAGGCAUUUGUCUAAAAUACUUCCAUUAAUCAAGAACGAAAGUUAAGGGAGUGAAGACGAUCAGAUACCGUCGUAAUCUUAACCAUAAACUAUACCGACUAGGUUUUGGAUGAAAGUAAAACAAAUAAGGAUAGUCUCUUCGGGGAUAGUUCUUAGAUUUCUUCCUUCAGUACCUUAUGAGAAAUCAAAGUCUUUGGGUUCUGGGGCGAGUAUUCGCGCAAGCGAGAAAGUUAAAAGAAUUGACGGAAGGGCACCACCAGGCGUGGAGCUUGCGGCUUAAUUUGACUCAACACGGGAAAACUCACUAGUUUAAGACAAGAGUAGGAUUGACAGAUUAAUAGCUCUUUCUUGAUUUCUUGGAUGGUGAUGCAUGGCCGUUUUUAGUUCGUGAAUAUGAUUUGUCUGGUUAAUUCCGAUAACGAACGAGAUCUUAACCUGCUAAUUAGCGGCAAAUACGAUAUAUUCUUAUGUAGAAUUGAAUAUAGUGGAUUUGUUGGAUUUUGAAGAAAAUAUUGGAAUUACGUUAAAUGUGAUUCCUUUCCCUUUUCUACUUAAUUUACAUUUCCAUCUAUUUCUUUUUUGCGUAUGAAUGUAUUUGCUUGAUUGUAAAGCUUCUUAGAGGAACGAUGUGUGUCUAACACAAG